CACUGCCCUGGGCAGCCUGUUCCAAUGCCUGAACACCCUUUGGGGAAGAAACUGUUCCUAAUAUCCAGUCUAAACAUCCCCUGGUGCAGGUUGAGGCUGUUUCUUCCUGCCCUAUCACUUGUUACUUGGGAAAAGAGACCAACCCUCACCUCACUACAACCUCCUUUCAGGUAGCUGUAGAUACAAGUUUUGAUACAACAUAGUAAGGAAAUGUCCUCAGUAACUACUAAUAGCAAACAGUAGAUAUGUAUUGAUCACCUCCAGGUUUGAGCUGCCUUCAGGAAUCCAGCUUGGGCUCUACAGUACAGCUGGCAUGAGCUGCUGAACAUCUGGAAAGACUAAAUGGUGAAACGGACUGGGAGAAGAUCUGUCACACACCUCCAGACACGGUAACUGAGACAGGGAUGAGCACAUCCUGCACACAGACACCUCUGUGCUUCCCCCUCUAACCUGUGCGAUCAUUCACCAUGAGGCACAACAAGGGGGAAGGUACCUGCUGCAAUGAUGACAUCAGGUUGAAGAGCCAACAGUUGUUUUUCUGUAACUAAGCCCCACUCAAGUUCUGCAACAACUACUUUCGGGUUUCGGUGAUUUGCUCCUUCUGCCUUCUGGCCUCCAGAUUCCAGCUGGAUAUGUUGGGCAGCUUCAGGCUCCAGGACAAAGCCAUUCAAACAGAUGUUUUGCUUCAGCUGCUGGAGAACGCGGUGGUGGUAGUCACUAAAUAUGUAUGUCUUGGGAUUGCAGGUUUUACAGAUGGCAAUUCCAGUGAAGCCGAUCCCACUUCCUAAUUCCAAGACUGUCCUGAAGGGUAAAGAAGUACUUAGCAAAACUCUAAGUGGAGUUAGGAAAUCAAACCACCUACAAUCUAAGCUUUGUCUCUGAUAACACAGACAGUUGGUGAACACUGAAGAAGCCAUUGUAAGGAUAAAAAUCAAUCACUUGAAAUACUGCCCUGGCAUGUGGUACAAAGCAUUCCCACCAUGGGGAUGGGACAUGUUCUCACCUGGUUUUAGCCUUCUGCAGCGUGGGUGGCUCGAUCUAACCAAGCUCUUUUCAUACUAAGUGGAGAGAAACAGACACUUGGGUAGUGCAGUUCCUUUUCUUGUGAGCUCCAUAUUUUAAAUUAACCUAGAUGGAUAUUUCCUCAAAAGUGCCUGCUCCUCUCACCUGCUUAUAAACAAAGCCCAGAGGAGGAGAUCAGACAUGUGCACCUGCACACCGAAUGUAUACAGUCAGAUGGGAUAAACCUCACCACACAGUGAGUGCAGUAGUUACUCACUAGACACUGCAGUAGCUGAAGUUGAGCAGCCAACUCCACAGAGCAGGUCAGACUACAUGGUGUGACAGCUUUGAUCUUAAAACCUGUUUUAAAAACACUGCGAGCUCCUCUGCUGGAUUCAAGUUUUACUCUAACAUCUGACUGUCAAGAAUAGACCAGAGCAGCAGUUACCAGCAGCCAGAGGGUGUAGUCACUGUGGUUCUUUUGGAGGUACAUUGUUAAGUUACAGUUGUGUGGCUCACUCACACUGUGAAACGUCCCUCCCCAUCUCUGUCCAAGCUUAUGUUGGUACCUGUUCCUGAAGCCGGAAGGGUUCUGCAGUGCCCACUCGGCAAGAUGCAGAGCAGCCUCCCACGUGACGAGCCCCGUGGUUCCUUCAGAGAUCACUGCCACACUCUCAGAAAGGGUGACACACUCUCCUGUAGGCUGUGGACACACAAGGCAGCCAAGGUGGAUCAGCACAGACAUGAGCUUUACAGUUUACAACCCAUAUUAGCACCUGGGAGAAGGGAAGAAGCACUCCAGGGGUUAUUGUUAAAGCCAAUUAUUGCUUACUUCAGAGGAUUAAAGUGAUUUAUAACACUGCAGCACUGGUUCUUACCAGUAAGUAGUGUUUGUAACAGUGAGUAGAUUCUUCUUCAUUUAAAAUAGCUGCCAGUGGUUCGUACAGUUCAUCUAGGGGCUCAGCUGUGAUGGAUUCAUGCUGUGGGAGGCAGAACAGGCUGGGUUUGAGUAGCAAAUCGUAGUGAAACAGGAAACGUAUGUUAACUCAUGUUUUAAUACACUCUGUCAUUAUGUUU
Long non-coding RNA from Pezoporus flaviventris, 2079 nucleotides. RefSeq lists it as uncharacterized. The record is from RefSeq and is a predicted model, not a curated record. The transcript is spliced from 2 exons. Lineage: Eukaryota; Metazoa; Chordata; Aves; Psittaciformes; Psittacidae.